UUGUCCAUGGUACCUGGGAUUCCCUCC
RNAcentral lists this non-coding RNA (27 nucleotides) under Mus musculus (house mouse). The record is from RNAcentral. Lineage: Eukaryota; Metazoa; Chordata; Mammalia; Rodentia; Muridae.